RNAcentral lists this ribosomal RNA (388 nucleotides) under uncultured bacterium. RNAcentral describes it as "bacterial SSU rRNA". It matches the Rfam family "Bacterial small subunit ribosomal RNA", at positions 790 to 1167 of the family's 1533-position model. The record is from RNAcentral.
GUAGUCCUAGCCCUAAACGAUGGGUACUAGAUAGUAGACUAGACAUGGGUUUACUGUCGAAGCUAAAGUGCUAAGUACCCCGCCUGGGGAGUAUGGUCGCAAGGCUGAAACUCAAAGAAAUUGACGGGGGCUCACACAAGCGGUGGAGCAUGUGGCUUAAUUCGAGGCUACGCGAAGAACCUUAUCCUGGACUUGACAUGUGCGAAAGCGUUAGGUAGUAGGACCCGGAAACGGGAACGAACCAGCAAUGGGAGCCUAAUACAGGUGCUGCAUGGCUGUCGUCAGCUCGUGUCGUGAGAUGUCGGGUUAAGUCCCAUAACGAGCGAAACCCUUACCUCUAGUUGCAACCGCAAGGGCACUCUAGAGGGACUGCCGGUGUUAAACCGGA